RNAcentral lists this long non-coding RNA (323 nucleotides) under Mytilus galloprovincialis (Mediterranean mussel). The record is from RNAcentral. Lineage: Eukaryota; Metazoa; Mollusca; Bivalvia; Mytilida; Mytilidae.
ACAAUGCAGCGUAAGUCUUAUUUCCAUCGUAAAUAUAAAACUGUGAGAAUGAUUUUCAUAUAACAAUGUGUGUGCUUGGCAGAAGCAGAUUUAGGAGGGGUAGGGUUCCCAGGCCCCAAUUAUGGAGCUACAUUUAUGGUUAAUACAUAGACUCGUGAAGUCCAACUUCUAACAUUGUCUUACCAAGGGUCCAGCUCCUCCCUCAAUUUCAAAAUCCUGGAUCUCUUUAUGUGUACCUGCUUGGAAUAUAAACACUUCAUAUUUAAAACAGUAAAAAAUUAAUGAAAAUCUGUGAUAUUUCAUGUACAGGUGUUAGUAUGUAU